Molecule: ribosomal RNA, 1522 nt
Filed under: Escherichia coli
Lineage: Bacteria; Pseudomonadati; Pseudomonadota; Gammaproteobacteria; Enterobacterales; Enterobacteriaceae
Also listed under: 1 other name
Description: bacterial SSU rRNA
Rfam family: Bacterial small subunit ribosomal RNA
Source: RNAcentral
AGAGUUUGAUCAUGGCUCAGAUUGAACGCUGGCGGCAGGCCUAACACAUGCAAGUCGAACGGUAACAGGAAUCAGCUUGCUGAUUCGCUGACGAGUGGCGGACGGGUGAGUAAUGUCUGGGAAACUGCCUGAUGGAGGGGGAUAACUACUGGAAACGGUAGCUAAUACCGCAUAACGUCGCAAGACCAAAGAGGGGGACCUUCGGGCCUCUUGCCAUCGGAUGUGCCCAGAUGGGAUUAGCUUGUUGGUGGGGUAACGGCUCACCAAGGCGACGAUCCCUAGCUGGUCUGAGAGGAUGACCAGCCACACUGGAACUGAGACACGGUCCAGACUCCUACGGGAGGCAGCAGUGGGGAAUAUUGCACAAUGGGCGCAAGCCUGAUGCAGCCAUGCCGCGUGUAUGAAGAAGGCCUUCGGGUUGUAAAGUACUUUCAGCGGGGAGGAAGGGAGUAAAGUUAAUACCUUUGCUCAUUGACGUUACCCGCAGAAGAAGCACCGGCUAACUCCGUGCCAGCAGCCGCGGUAAUACGGAGGGUGCAAGCGUUAAUCGGAAUUACUGGGCGUAAAGCGCACGCAGGCGGUUUGUUAAGUCAGAUGUGAAAUCCCCGGGCUCAACCUGGGAACUGCAUCUGAUACUGGCAAGCUUGAGUCUCGUAGAGGGGGGUAGAAUUCCAGGUGUAGCGGUGAAAUGCGUAGAGAUCUGGAGGAAUACCGGUGGCGAAGGCGGCCCCCUGGACGAAGACUGACGCUCAGGUGCGAAAGCGUGGGGAGCAAACAGGAUUAGAUACCCUGGUAGUCCACGCCGUAAACGAUGUCGACUUGGAGGUUGUGCCCUUGAGGCGUGGCUUCCGGAGCUAACGCGUUAAGUCGACCGCCUGGGGAGUACGGCCGCAAGGUUAAAACUCAAAUGAAUUGACGGGGGCCCGCACAAGCGGUGGAGCAUGUGGUUUAAUUCGAUGCAACGCGAAGAACCUUACCUGGUCUUGACAUCCACGGAAGUUUUCAGAGAUGAGAAUGUGCCUUCGGGAACCGUGAGACAGGUGCUGCAUGGCUGUCGUCAGCUCGUGUUGUGAAAUGUUGGGUUAAGUCCCGCAACGAGCGCAACCCUUAUCCUUUGUUGCCAGCGGUCCGGCCGGGAACUCAAAGGAGACUGCCAGUGAUAAACUGGAGGAAGGUGGGGAUGACGUCAAGUCAUCAUGGCCCUUACGACCAGGGCUACACACGUGCUACAAUGGCGCAUACAAAGAGAAGCGACCUCGCGAGAGCAAGCGGACCUCAUAAAGUGCGUCGUAGUCCGGAUUGGAGUCUGCAACUCGACUCCAUGAAGUCGGAAUCGCUAGUAAUCGUGGAUCAGAAUGCCACGGUGAAUACGUUCCCGGGCCUUGUACACACCGCCCGUCACACCAUGGGAGUGGGUUGCAAAAGAAGUAGGUAGCUUAACCUUCGGGAGGGCGCUUACCACUUUGUGAUUCAUGACUGGGGUGAAGUCGUAACAAGGUAACCGUAGGGGAACCUGCGGUUG